GCUCCCGUAGCCCAACCGGCAGAGGCGACAGAUUCAAAACCUGUUCAGUGUGAGUUCGAAUCUCACCGGGAGCA
This 74-nucleotide transfer RNA is filed under the name Acidimicrobiales bacterium. RNAcentral describes it as "tRNA-Leu". It matches the Rfam family "tRNA". Rfam says of the family: Transfer RNA (tRNA) molecules are approximately 80 nucleotides in length. Lineage: Bacteria; Bacillati; Actinomycetota; Acidimicrobiia; Acidimicrobiales. RNAcentral also lists the same sequence under 1 other name. The record is from RNAcentral.